Microcoleus sp. is the source of this 37-nucleotide non-coding RNA. NCBI's taxonomy places the organism in Bacteria, Bacillati, Cyanobacteriota, Cyanophyceae, Oscillatoriales, Microcoleaceae. The record is from Rfam.
GUUUAAAUUCCACUUAAUCCCUAUCAGGGAUUGAAAC